RNAcentral lists this long non-coding RNA (279 nucleotides) under Lathyrus oleraceus (garden pea). Its description in RNAcentral is "Pisum sativum (pea) long non-coding RNA (PSAT_LNC028515)". The record is from RNAcentral. Lineage: Eukaryota; Viridiplantae; Streptophyta; Magnoliopsida; Fabales; Fabaceae.
ACUUGCAUAACCGAUUCCCGAACCUUAUUUGGUUGCGACGACCAUUUAUUUUUGUUUUUCAUGGGUUUUAUCGAUAUAUUCGUUUUCCCUCUUUGGGAAUAAAUAAAGUUCGGUGGAGACUUUAUUUUGUUUAUAUUUUGAGUGUUCCUUACGCUCAAGUAUUUUUCACGUCACAAUAGUUGGCAACUCUGUUGGGGAAAUGGAUAUUCUCCUAAACGAGUCCACCCUAGUUUAGUUUGUUUGAUGUUUAAGUGUUUGCUUUUAUCUCUUUGUUUAAUU